RNAcentral lists this ribosomal RNA (324 nucleotides) under uncultured eukaryote. Its description in RNAcentral is "partial 18S ribosomal RNA". It matches the Rfam family "Eukaryotic small subunit ribosomal RNA", at positions 1470 to 1796 of the family's 1831-position model. The record is from RNAcentral.
CCCUUAGAUGUUCUGGGCUGCAUGCGCGCUACACUGACGCUAUCAACACGUUUUCCCUCCCUGAGAAGGGCGGGUAACCUUUUGAAUCAGCUUCGUGGUAGGGAUCGGGGCUUGCAAUUGUUCCCCGUGAACCAGGAAUUCCUAGUAGACGCGAGUCAUAAGCUCGCAUCGAUUAAGUCCCUGCCCUUUGUACACACCGCCCGUCGCUACUACCGAUUGAACGUUUUAGUGAGGCAUUUGGACCGACGCAUCUCAGUUUAACCGCUGGUUUGUGUUGGAAAGACUUCCAAACUUGAGCGUUUAGAGGAAGUAAAAGUCGUAACA